This 462-nucleotide unclassified non-coding RNA is filed under the name Absidia sp. (in: mucoromycotan fungi). RNAcentral describes it as "Absidia sp. (in: Fungi) sequence contains 18S rRNA gene, ITS1, 5.8S rRNA gene, ITS2, 28S rRNA gene". The stretch from base 92 to 242 matches the Rfam family "5.8S ribosomal RNA". Lineage: Eukaryota; Fungi; Mucoromycota; Mucoromycetes; Mucorales; Cunninghamellaceae. The record is from RNAcentral.
AUGAUCUUUUUUUCCUUUGGGAAAAAAUAGGAUUGCCCGGUUUAUUUUACUAAUUCGACUGAACCAAACAAGAAAUUUGUUAAUUAGAAACAACUUUCAGCAAUGGAUCUCUCGGCUUUCGUAUCGAUGAAGAACGCAGCAAAUCGCGAUAUGUAGUGUGAUCUGCCCAUAGUGAAUCAUCAAAUUUUUGAACGCAUCUUGCACCCUUGGGUAUUCCUGAGGGUACGCCUGUUUCAGUAUCAUUCUAACUUCUUCUCCCUAUGAUUGGGGAUUGGAAAAAUCACCAUUGGCUUGGUAUGACGCGUUUUUUACACGUUUGCUUGGCUUGAAUAAAACUCGGUUUUAAACUGGGUAAUUACCUUUUGGUAGUGAAUUCUGCAAAAAGUACAACUUUCCUAUAAUAAAACUCGGGCUUUAUGCCCAACUUUCAUAAACUUGAUCGGAAAUCAGGGGGGAUUACCC